GGUUCUCGGGUUUUUUCCUUCUCCUUUGCUCCUGUUGAGCGUGGAACUCAGACAUAAAGCUUCCUUCACAGCAGCAGUAAGGAAUUCUUUUCACUUCUGGAAUCUGAACUGGAGCCUUACAACUUCACUCUGUCAAGGAACAGGGGAAAAAGAUGGUUAGAGCUACAGAGCAGAUCACUGGCUGAGCUGAUGAUCACACAGAGGUAUCAUUCUGAUAAGUCUUUCACCACCUGCUGAUUGUCUUCCUUCUGCUGGGUGUUCACAGGUAAAGAAACUGGCCCUUCCUUAUAAGAUACUGUAGUAAUGGUGGACACUUAUUCCCUAAAGGAAUUUUUACUUUGCAUCCCCUAUUUGCCGUUGAUCUAGGAUCUUUAUCUCAUCUAUGUAACGAGCUAAUUCUUUUCUUUUGUGAAAUAUAUGUUUGUGUUUAAAGUACAUUUCUUCUUUUUCGCUUGUAAACUUAGGCCACCAUGGUGACAAUAAUUCUAAUACUCCAGAUCUGAAUUAAUCAUGCUGAAGAUACUUUUAACCUAUUGUC
Molecule: long non-coding RNA, 538 nt
Filed under: Struthio camelus australis
Lineage: Eukaryota; Metazoa; Chordata; Aves; Struthioniformes; Struthionidae
Description: lncRNA (ENSSCUG00000009030.1)
Source: RNAcentral